RNAcentral lists this transfer RNA (85 nucleotides) under Armatimonadota bacterium. RNAcentral describes it as "Armatimonadetes bacterium (anaerobic digester metagenome) tRNA-Tyr". It matches the Rfam family "tRNA". From Rfam's summary of the family: Transfer RNA (tRNA) molecules are approximately 80 nucleotides in length. Their secondary structure includes four short double-helical elements and three loops (D, anti-codon, and T loops). Lineage: Bacteria; Bacillati; Armatimonadota. The record is from RNAcentral.
GGGGGGAUGCCCGAGUGGUUAAAGGGGGCAGACUGUAAAUCUGUUGCCAAAGGCUACGUUGGUUCAAAUCCAACUCUCCCCACCA